This 1766-nucleotide long non-coding RNA is filed under the name Pongo abelii (Sumatran orangutan). RNAcentral's name for it is "lincRNA". Lineage: Eukaryota; Metazoa; Chordata; Mammalia; Primates; Hominidae. The record is from RNAcentral.
AGCAGGAAAGGCAGGGGAGGCAGCGGCGGGAAGCCUUCCUUAGCUGUGUGAUCCUAGGUGGCUGUUAACUUAGCAUUUGAGGACUGUCUCAGAUAGACAAAAUUGGACCAGGUUUUGUACCAUAGGAAAAAGGCUUUACCCACUCAAAUAUCCACUGUUUUCAGCAGACAGAGUCCUAAGUGGAUGCCUGAUUGGCUGAUCCUGGGACACAUGCCUGCUCGCUGGAUGUACUGAGGCCAUGAGAAGAAGGAUCUGGCAAAACAAACCUCAGGGACCUCAGCAAGAAGGCAGAGGACCUGGACUAACCAUGGCAUCCAAACUGAACACAAUUUUAGAGAUAAUUCCCACAGAAGAGACAGGAUUUCUAGAAAAUGGAAGUAGCCCACUCUUGGAAAAGAAUGGGCAUUUACUGAGAUGCAACUAUAAGCUGGUGAAAUAUAGUUUUGUUUAAAAUCAUUUAAUUUUAUUCCACAUCAUUUUCCUUUGAAGAUAUUUGAAUUGCCAGGGACAUUAAUACUAUCAAGGAGCUUUGCUGUUUCACCCAAAUAUGAGAUGUCCACUUUGGGAUUAGAUCCCUGCCUCAUUCAAAUUUCCUUUUCCCUUAGUCUUUUCUUGAGUUAUAGACAUUUGUUCAUUUUUUUCAACUUAUUCAACAAGUAUUUAUUGAACAACUACUAGGUGCCAUAUACUGUUUUUGGUUUGGUAUGGAAAGCCUGUAGGAAUCUCUGUUGUAAUUUUGGGAAUUUGCCCAACCUGCUCUUUAGGUGGUGCUAUGAACUGACUUGUGUGCUCCCAAAAUUUAUCUGUUGAAGCUCUAAGCUCCAAUGUGAUGAUAUUUGGAGAUGGGACCUUUGGGAAUUAAUUAAGGUUAGAUGAGGUCAUGAGGAUGGGGCCCUUAUGAGGGGAUUAGUGCCCUUAUAAGAAAACACACCAGAGUGCCUGCUUGCUCUCUCUCUCUCUCUGCCAUGUGAAGACACAGUAUGAAGGCAGCUUAUUGCAAGCCUAAGAAAGAACGCUUGCCAGAAUUGGACUUCUGGUCUCCAGAACCAUGAAAACAUAAACUUCUGUUGUUUAAGCCACCCAGUCUAUGGAAUUUUGUUCUGGAAGCCCAAGCUGACUAAUAUGGUUGGAGUCCAGUGCUUUGCCUGAAGAAGGUACAUCUCUAAAACUAAACAUUUUGCUCAUUGAAGCUUGAUCUGAAAUAAUUAAGACUUUGGUCUUGAAAAUCUUAGACAGAAUCCAUUCAGUGACUACCUUUAUUCUGAAUUGGCAGGCAGUUGUUCUGAUAGAUCUGAGAAGAUUCUUUUGACAACAAUUUCUCCAACUUCAGAUAUGUUGAAAAACAAAAUAAAUAUGUUAAUAAUUAACAUGAUGUAAUGAACUUCAGUAGUAAAUUAAGACUAGAACAGAUAAGGGGUACCAGGAACCUUGGUUGUAAAGUGGCAUAUAUAAACAUAGUCGCAUCAAAACUUGCUAAAGUGGCCAGGUGCAGUGGCUCAUGCCUGUAAUCCCACACUUUGGGAAGCAGAGACAGGUGGAUCACCCGAGGUCAGGAGUUUGAGAUCAGCCUGGCAAACAGGGUGAAACCCUUUCUCUACUAAUAAUACAAAAAUUAGCCAGACAUGGUGGCUCAUGACUGUAAUCCCAGCUACUUAGGAGGCUGAGGCAGGAGAAUCGCUUGAACCCGGGAGGCAGAGGUUGCAGUGAGCCAGGAUCGCACCAUUGCACUCCAGCCUGGGCAACACGAGCAAAACUCUGUCUCAAAA